AACGAACGCUGGCGGCAUGCCUAACACAUGCAAGUCGAACGAGACCUUCGGGUCUAGUGGCGCACGGGUGCGUAACGCGUGGGAACCUGCCUUAAGGUUCGGAAUAACAGUUAGAAAUGACUGCUAAUACCGGAUAAUGUCUUCGGACCAAAGAUUUAUCGCCUUUAGAUGGGCCCGCGUUGGAUUAGCUAGUUGGUGGGGUAAAGGCCUACCAAGGCGACGAUCCAUAGCUGGUCUGAGAGGAUGAUCAGCCACACUGGGACUGAGACACGGCCCAGACUCCUACGGGAGGCAGCAGUGGGGAAUAUUGGACAAUGGGCGAAAGCCUGAUCCAGCAAUGCCGCGUGAGUGAUGAAGGCCUUAGGGUUGUAAAGCUCUUUUACUGGGGAUGAUAAUGACAGUAC
This 404-nucleotide ribosomal RNA is filed under the name uncultured bacterium. RNAcentral describes it as "bacterial SSU rRNA". It matches the Rfam family "Bacterial small subunit ribosomal RNA", at positions 29 to 478 of the family's 1533-position model. The record is from RNAcentral.